UACGGGGGGGGCAAGCGUUGUUCGGAAUUACUGGGCGUAAAGGGGACGUAGGCGGCCAACUAAGUCCGACGUGAAAUCCCAAGGCUUAACCUUGGAACUGCGUUGGAUACUGGAUGGCUUGAAUUCGGGAGAGGGAUGCAGAAUUCCAGGUGUAGCGGUGAAAUGCGUAGAUAUCUGGAGGAAUACCGGUGGCGAAGGCGGCAUCCUGGACCGACAUUGACGCUGAAAGCCGAAAGCUAGGGGAGCAAACGGG
RNAcentral lists this ribosomal RNA (253 nucleotides) under uncultured bacterium. RNAcentral describes it as "partial 16S ribosomal RNA". It matches the Rfam family "Bacterial small subunit ribosomal RNA", at positions 524 to 776 of the family's 1533-position model. The record is from RNAcentral.